Molecule: non-coding RNA, 1859 nt
Organism: Oryctolagus cuniculus (rabbit)
Lineage: Eukaryota; Metazoa; Chordata; Mammalia; Lagomorpha; Leporidae
Source: RefSeq, a predicted model, not a curated record
CAUUGUCUAGAUUAGCGGAACUAGGGGGAUGCAGCUCUUGGAAGAUUCCAAGGGUAACAGGGAAAUGGUUUGGGAGUGAGAGCCAGCUGCCUGAUGAGAAAACUGUCCAUUAACAUGCAAAUUUCUGGCUUCAUAGCCUUAAACAGGGACACAGUGAUUGCCUUCCCCACAGUUUGAAGACAAGGCAAAAAACUUCCUAGUAGUUGUAACCGGUUAGGCUUAAAUGAGAAAAAGAAGAGAGAAAGAAUGAUGGUACUGAAACAUAUAUUUUCAUGACAGCAAAUCUUUAGACCUUUACAGAAGCCCCUUUAACUAGAAAGCGAUUGUUCCAUUUGAGAAUAGAGCUCACCGAUGGUGUCGUUGUGAACUGAACGCCAUGCAGCGUCAGCGCUGAGGCUUGGAGGGCUCCUCAGUAAUAACAAGCUAUUUCAGACUGGGGACCCUGAGGCCGAAGAGUGGAAUUGUAUUUUUUUCCCAACAGGUACAACUUCAUUAACUUGGAAUCUAAAGCUAAAUAUUUGGUUUCACUUUGCUUCUUCUAGCUGUGCUGUCUCCACUAACCAGUCCAUCAGGUGCCCAGAACUGUUGGUAGAACCUCAGACGUCACCCUCCAUCCCACCGCUCAUGGUCUACCACGGCCGUUGCGUGAUUACAGUGUGCAGAACAUGACGGCAUUUUGGUCAGCUGUGAUCUCAGAUGGAACUGUAAAAUGCCCCUUUGUAAGCUGCUGUAACACCUACACCACUGCAUUAUUCCCAUGUUUGUGGUGUUGCUGGUGUGAAUGCCUCCCCUGUGAGGUUGGUCCUCUACAGUUGGGUACAGUGCAUAACCAUCAUAACGGACAAUGUCACUGGUUUAUGUGUUUAUCAUCCUGUAUUUCCAUCUGCAUCUUAGAGCACACUCCUCCUUCUCAGUACCAGCUGUGUUCCUCCUGUAGCUCGUACUCCCGUUCUCUCCGUUGUAUCCAAGAAGCUUCAUCAAGAAACUGGCUCACACCAUCUAGGACUGCGUGGGAACCCCCUGUGACACUGCACAGCAACACCUACCUCUGUGUUUCCCAAAGCCUGUAGCUCUGCUAUGAAGCCACACUGGACAGUAAUGAGAACUACGUCCUGUGGACACUUCUCACUCAAAGUAAACUUGUGUUUUGAUGGUCCGACAAUGACAUCCAUUACAGCGGAGCUGAGUCUGACUCGGAUAUUAGGAUUUAAACAGCAUUUAGGGUGAAUACUCUGCAUAGUAAAAUUGCCCUUAGAAAUCCAUUAAGUUGGACAUAAAGUGCAGCGUAAAUGGACUUGAAUGUACAACAUCACAACAGUAAAAUACAUGCAUGAAAAGUAGGUACCUGGAAGCUAGAAUCGGGCUCUGCACACCCCACGUUCAAGAGCGAUGCCCAGAGACUGACACCCAUUGCCGGCCGGCAGAGCUAAUUCAGGUGCUCCUGCCGGUACCUCACCUGGUCACAUUCGCGUCACGAAAGAGCGGGCAGGCACUUAUGUUUUUGACUUUCUCCUCCUGCUGUUGUCUCUCCAGAUGUUUGCAUCUAGCGUGUUAGAAGCUAAACACACAGGUGACGUGACUUGGUGGUGACUGAGGUUAGCUGUGUAUUCACAAAGGAUGCUUCCGGGGGAGGCUGCUGCAGGGACUGUGUUCAAACGACCGCUCUUGUCUGCCAAGGAGCCUGUGCUGAGCACCCGUGUUCCUGGCUGGAGCUGUCCUAACCCUCACCACUCAUCAGAUUCAAACACUGGAAACGUUCAGCUCUGCCCUAAAGAUCCAGUCAGUCCUUAAAAGAAAAACAUUGUGGUGCACUUAAGGCAAAUGGAAACAGUGUGGUAAAUACACAAAUGUGGAUAGUU